Molecule: ribosomal RNA, 249 nt
Filed under: uncultured bacterium
Lineage: Bacteria
Description: partial 16S ribosomal RNA
Rfam family: Bacterial small subunit ribosomal RNA
Source: RNAcentral
UGCAGCGUUACUCGGAUUUACUGGGCGUAAAGGGUGCGUAGGCGGCCAAGUGUGUCAGAUGUGAAAUCUCGGGGCUUAACUCCGAAACUGCAUCUGAAACUAUUUGGCUUGAGUCUCGGAGAGGGUAGCGGAAUUUCCGGUGUAGCGGUGAAAUGCGUAGAUAUCGGGAGGAACACCUAAGGCGAAGGCAGCUAUCUGGACGAGUACUGACGCUGAGGCACGAAAGCGUGGGGAGCGAAAGGGAUUAGA